AUCUGAAACUCUCGAGCUCCACGUUACAUAUUCCGUUAGGAAAUUGUAAUACUCUCUCUAAUGAAUGAAUGAAGAUCAAAAGCAAAACCUGCCUUCGUUUGUUGCAAAAAUAAAUGUCUCAAAAUGCACGAAAAACCAGUUCAAGCAGCAAUCAACCAAAAUUCAGGAAGCAUUUGAGCGACGUCAUCAACAACUCUGUUGGCUGUCUGUCUGAAAAGCGAAAGGAAACGAACGAAUCAACAUACAAUACAACUUCGACGGUGGGGUUCCUAUUUCCAACUAAUUAACCAUAAAGAUUUAUGUUAACAAAUGUCUACGAAUGCCUUUCAAAGUGCCUACUGCCAGGUGUUCCGGCCAGUUUGCGGUUAGCCACAGUUGGUCAAGCUUUAGUUGGCUAUUUAUCUGGUUAAUGGCACAGUUUUGUCUUAAAUUUUUGAUGAUUCGACAAGGUCGUUGGCCAGUAGCUCAAAGAAUAUUUAUAAUACGGCAUGAAAAUCGUAUCAAAUGGCAAAGAGCACGAAUCAAAACAAAACAAAAUGAUAAAUAAAAAAAUAAAUUCUGAUAAUCAACGAAAUCAUUUAACCUCGGUAACUUUAUUACGAAAGAAAGAAGCAUGAUAAAA
Molecule: long non-coding RNA, 622 nt
Organism: Drosophila albomicans
Lineage: Eukaryota; Metazoa; Arthropoda; Insecta; Diptera; Drosophilidae
Exons: 3
Source: RefSeq, a predicted model, not a curated record